GAAUGAUAGCUCAGUUGGGAGAGCGUUAGACUGAAGUUGUUUACGCAACAGUCAUCUAAAGGCCCCCCGGUUCAAUCCCGGGUUCCG
RNAcentral lists this transfer RNA (87 nucleotides) under Dreissena polymorpha. RNAcentral's name for it is "tRNA-Phe". The stretch from base 6 to 83 matches the Rfam family "tRNA", at positions 7 to 64 of the family's 71-position model. Rfam says of the family: Transfer RNA (tRNA) molecules are approximately 80 nucleotides in length. Their secondary structure includes four short double-helical elements and three loops (D, anti-codon, and T loops). The record is from RNAcentral. Lineage: Eukaryota; Metazoa; Mollusca; Bivalvia; Myida; Dreissenidae.